This 283-nucleotide ribosomal RNA is filed under the name uncultured fungus. Its description in RNAcentral is "partial 18S ribosomal RNA". It matches the Rfam family "Eukaryotic small subunit ribosomal RNA", at positions 548 to 836 of the family's 1831-position model. The record is from RNAcentral. Lineage: Eukaryota; Fungi.
UUGGAGGGCAAGUCUGGUGCCAGCAGCCGCGGUAAUUCCAGCUCCAAUAGCGUAUAUUAAAGUUGUUGCAGUUAAAAAAGCUCGUAGUUGAACUUCAGACCUGACCGGGCGGUCCGCCUAACGGUGUGUACUGUCUGGCCGGGCCUUACCUCUUGGUGAGCCGGCAUGCCCUUCACUGGGUGCGUCGGGGAACCAGGACCUUUACCUUGAGAAAAUUAGAGUGUUCAAAGCGGGCUUACGCCGGAAUACAUUAGCAUGGAAUAAUAAAAUAGGACGUGCGGUU